This 118-nucleotide non-coding RNA is filed under the name Halobacillus sp. RNAcentral's name for it is "SAM-I sequence". It matches the Rfam family "SAM riboswitch aptamer (S box leader)". Rfam says of the family: The SAM riboswitch is found upstream of a number of genes which code for proteins involved in methionine or cysteine biosynthesis in Gram-positive bacteria. The SAM riboswitch acts at the level of transcription termination control. The predicted structure consists of a complex stem-loop region followed by a single stem loop terminator region. Lineage: Bacteria; Bacillati; Bacillota; Bacilli; Caryophanales; Bacillaceae. The record is from RNAcentral. RNAcentral also lists the same sequence under 1 other name.
UUCUUAUCUAGAGAGGUGGAGGGACUGGCCCUUUGAAACCUCGGCAGCGGAUCUGAACGGAUGUCUCCGUCAGAAACUGUGCCAACUCCAGCACGCCUGUGGGCGUGACAGAUGAGGA